CGUAGGUGGCGAGCGUUGUCCGGAUUUAUUGGGCGUAAAGGGAACGCAGGCGGUCUUUUAAGUCUGAUGUGAAAGCCUUCGGCUUAACCGAAGUAGUGCAUUGGAAACUGGAAGACUUGAGUGCAGAAGAGGAGAGUGGAACUCCAUGUGUAGCGGUGAAAUGCGUAGAUAUAUGGAAGAACACCAGUGGCGAAAGCGGCUCUCUGGUCUGUAACUGACGCUGAGGUUCGAAAGCGUGGGUAGCAA
Molecule: ribosomal RNA, 246 nt
Filed under: uncultured bacterium
Lineage: Bacteria
Description: partial 16S ribosomal RNA
Rfam family: Bacterial small subunit ribosomal RNA
Source: RNAcentral